CAGCAUGUUUACAAGUGCUAUGGCUGGUUGUAGCUAAGGGAUCUCCAACUGCAUGGGAAAGCAACCUGGAGAGACUUUGACAGCUCAGGUCAGCCUAAUACCUGCAGCUGCCACUUGCCUUUCCUAUAAUA
Molecule: small nucleolar RNA, 131 nt
Organism: Phyllostomus discolor (pale spear-nosed bat)
Lineage: Eukaryota; Metazoa; Chordata; Mammalia; Chiroptera; Phyllostomidae
Product: small nucleolar RNA SNORA44
Exons: 1
Source: RefSeq, a predicted model, not a curated record